This is a non-coding RNA of Acanthosepion pharaonis, 113 nucleotides long. The record is from the annotation of a GenBank genome assembly. NCBI's taxonomy places the organism in Eukaryota, Metazoa, Mollusca, Cephalopoda, Sepiida, Sepiidae.
UACAGCCACACCGCGUUGCAACCCCGGUUCCCGUACGAUCACCGAAGUUAAGCAUCGUUGAGCCUGGUAAGUACUUAGGUGGGUUACCGCUUGGGAAUAUCAGGUGCUGUAAG